This 233-nucleotide ribosomal RNA is filed under the name uncultured bacterium. RNAcentral describes it as "partial 16S ribosomal RNA". It matches the Rfam family "Bacterial small subunit ribosomal RNA", at positions 100 to 334 of the family's 1533-position model. The record is from RNAcentral.
CGGGACGGGUGAGUAAUGUCUGGGAAACUGCCCGAUGGAGGGGGAUAACUACUGGAAACGGUAGCUAAUACCGCAUAACGUCGCAAGACCAAAGAGGGGGACCUUCGGGCCUCCUGCCAUCGGAUGUGCCCAGAUGGGAUUAGCUAGUAGGUGGGGUAACGGCUCACCUAGGCGACGAUCCCUAGCUGGUCUGAGAGGAUGAUCAGCCACACUGGGACUGAGACACGGUCCAG